This is a long non-coding RNA of Eriocheir sinensis (Chinese mitten crab), 3860 nucleotides long. RefSeq lists it as uncharacterized. The record is from RefSeq and is a predicted model, not a curated record. NCBI's taxonomy places the organism in Eukaryota, Metazoa, Arthropoda, Malacostraca, Decapoda, Varunidae. The transcript has 3 exons.
UCCCCUUCUCACCCAUCCUUUCCCGUUUUUCCCUAUCCAUCCUCUCCCUUCCAUUCUUUCCCUUCCAUAAUCCUUUCCCUCUUCACGCAUCCCUUCCUCUCUCUCCCCAUCCCCUAUCUCGCUCACAUAACUCGGUCCAAUAUUGUUUGUUCAAAGCCGUGUCUGGCCGAUUCCCACGCGUGUUGUUUUUUCGUCAUCAUAAACCUUUUAAAUAGACUGCACAAACGAGUGUGUGUGUGUGUGUGUGUGUGUGUGUGUGUGUGUGUGUGUGUGUGUGACAGUGAACUUGGGAAGGGCACUGUUUAGCCUGGCAGUGUGUCCAACGCGGAAGUCUGUGUGUGUGUGUGUGUGUACUUGCAGCCGACUCAGCGCUUAUAGACACUCUCACCCCCACCCUUUGUCUGUCUGUGUGUGUGUGUGUGUGGUCAGUCCGCUGUCGCAAAGCUCAGCAUCUCGAAUCAUCACAACACUAAGCUGCUGCUGUCGGGGAGGAGGUGCAGAGGAAGAAGCAAGGGUGAGAGGUGGAGGGGGGACAGGAGAUGAAGGACAGGGAUGGUGUCUAUUCUUGAUAUGAUUUUUUUCUUUCUUUCUUCUUCAUUUUCUUUUUUUUCUUCUUAUUCUUAUUUAUAUUCUUAUUCAUAUUCUUCUUAUUAUUAUCAUCUUGUUUUCCCUCUGUCUUGUGUUUGAGGGUAAAAAACAGAAAUGGAAAAGAAAGGACGAAAAAAUAAGAAUAAGAUACUCAAAGAGGAAAUAAAAACAAAUACACAAUCGUCGGCAGCAGUGGUUCUGAUAUUUUUUUCUUGGCAUGAGGGUAAAAAGAGAAUAGUGAAAAUGAAAUGAGGCAUUACUAUAAAGAAGAGAGAGAUUUAUUUUUCUAUAGAGAGAGAGUGUGUGUGUUGGGAUGACCUUUCUAAUCUAAUAAUAUGGCGUUGUUGUUGUUUUUUUGUAAGAACCGAGGCGCAUAUUUGACGGCUGUGAAAAUAAAGGCAAAUCAACAGUUAAAUUUAUUGAUAUAGUAAUGUUUACGUAAGGUGUCGGCAUUAGUGAAAGGCAAAGCUGAGAAGAAUGAAAAGUAAAAAUGAAUUACAGCUACUUAUCUGUUUUAAGACGUAAAAUGAAAGUAAGGAAAACUUGAAAAAAGGUCAUGUCUCUGUUGUGUCUGUUCCUGAGUCUUUACAGGUUACCUACUGUUUAGUCCGCUGGUUGGUGAAGCGUCCCGGCCAGCCCAAAGCCCAAAGCCCAAAAACAAUAGUGGUGGUGGGCUGGGGGGUUUGUAGUAAUUAAAAAGUGUCCGCAGCAGUGAAAGGAAACAAGCAAGUAAAAUAAACAGAUAGGCAAAUAAAAAUGAUAGAAAGAAAAACAAGAAAAAGCCUUGAAGACGGUUAAAUUAUCGCCAUAUAUUUUUACUACGUGCUCAAACACUUGCCAAGAAAAAUAAAUAAAAUAGGUCGUCUCCAUAAGGUCAUAUUUGUAUAUACUAGAAUUCGUCCCCAAAAUAAUCCACAGAAAACUGAUUUCUGUAACUGUUCUUUAUUAUGACAAUGUAUUUACACACACACAAAAAAACUAAAAACAGCUUGAAAAAAAAAAUCUCCAUACGGCCUUUACAUAAUUAUAUCCUUUAGCACAGGAAAAAAUACACACAAACAGAAUCAUAUAAAUACUCUUAAAAUUAUGUCAACCUGCGAUUCAUUCAUUCCCAGAACUCCGUCAUAACGAUUACACGAGAGAGAGAGAGAGAGAGAGAGAGAGAGAGAGAGAGAGAGAGAGAGAGGAAAAAUAGUUAAGCUCCAUAUGGUCUUUUCAAAGCAUUCACGUAAAGAAAAACACGAAGAAAGAAUACUAAUAGGAUAAUCUUGUUAUGCUCGUCAAUGUUAAGAAGGUCUUUGUGCGGGGCUUCAAACACCGAAAAAAUAUCAACAGGAAAAAAAAGGAAAGAAAAACGCGAGUAAAUACGAAUGCAAGUAAAUGAGAUUCACGAACCAGAACGAAUAAGCACAAGAAAAAGAAGAAAAUAAUAAUAAAGUAAAGAUCUUUGUGCGAGGCUCCAAAAUCCAAGAAAAGAGGAAAACAGAAAAAGAAAGAAAAAUACGAGUGAAUACAAAUACAAGUAAAUAAAAAUCACAAACGAGAACGAAUAAACACAAGAAAAAGAAGAAAAUAAUAAUAAUGUAAAGAUCUUUGUGCGAGGCUCCAAAAUCCAAGAAAAGAGGAAAACAGAAAAAGAAAGAAAAAUACGAGUGAAUACAAAUACAAGUAAAUAAAAAUCACAAACGAGAACGAAUAAACACAAGAAAAAGAAGAAAAUAAUAAUAAUGUAAAGAUCUUUGUGCGCGGCUCCAAACAUCCAGGAAAUUAAAAGACAAGAGGAAGACAGAGAAAGAAAGAAAAAUACGAGUGAAUAAAAAUACAAGUAAAUAAAAAUCGCAAACAAGAAGGAAAUGAACUUUUAGAAUAAUUUAAAUAAAAUGAGUGGAAAUGGCAUUGAGCAGCUCGGAAGGAAACACAGAAAGAGAGAAUAUAUAAACAGCCAUGCAAGUUUAUUCCUUUGCCUGGAAACAUUAAUAAUAACAUGGACGAUGAGAUAAAUUUAAAUAGAAAGGGUGGAUUGAGCAGCUUGGACGGAAACUCAGAAAGAAAGAAUAUAUAAUAGUUAUGCAAGUUAAGUUUCUUUGCCUCGAAACAUUAAGAACAACAUGAACGGUGAGAAAAAAUAAAAUAGAAGGGGUGAGUAUAGCAUUGAGCAGCGGAAGGAAACCCAUAAAGGAAGAAUAUAUAAAUAGCCUUGAUGCAAGUUAAGUUCCUUUGCUACGAACCAACAACUAAUAACAUAAACGGUGGAAAAAAAACAAGUAGAAGGGGUGAAUAUAGUGUCAGCGUUGGGUAGUUCGGUAGGAAACCCAGUAAAAAAGAAUAUAUGAAUAGCCAUGCAAGUUGACGAAGAAAAGGUGAAUCCUAGCAAAUUUUAAAUGUUGGAUAAGAAAACACAGAGAGAGAGAGAGAGAGAGAGAGAGAGAGAGAGAGCACCCAUAUAGAUUUCGUUGUUCUAACCCUAAUAAUUAAACGUCCCAAAGCAGUAAAGAGAAAACCAGGCGUGAAUAACAUCAGUGGCUGCCUCAGAAGAAAUAACAAAGAAAGGAAAAAAAGAAAAUAAAUAUCUCAGAUUUAGGUUAGGGAUGGAGGAAGUUUUGAAAGGUGGGUGAGAGAAGGAUAGCUAAAAGAGGAAGGAAGUUCAGAAAAAUGAGAGAGAAGAAGGAUAAGUGAGGGAGGAAGGAAGUUUGGAAAGAUAGGAGAGAGAAGAAGGAUAGGUGAGGGAGGAAGGAAGUUUGGAAAGAUAGGAGAGAGAAGAAGGAUAGGUGAGGGAGGAAGGAAGUUUGGAAAGAUAGGAGAGAGAAGAAGGAUAGGUGAGGGAGGAAGGAAGUUUGGAAAGAUAGGAGAAAGAAGAAGGGUAGGUGAGGGAGGAAGGAAAUUUGGAAAGGUAGGUGAGAGAAGGGUAGGUGAGGGAGGAAGGAAGUUUGGAAAGGUAGGAAAGAGAUAUAAAAAAAACUAUAAAAAAACAAUAAAACGUGAAUAAAAACAACCUCGGGGCCUCAAAUGCAAGAUUACUAAAAAAAAAGAAAAAAAAGAUCUAAAUAUAACAAAUUUUACAUGGCUCAAACACACAAAGCAUCCAAUAUGAGGACAAAUAAUGGAAAAAGUAAUAAAAACAGAAUCGUUCAAGACAGCUGGCGACGUCUGACAGCGCUGCACACAAAAGCCUCGGCAAGAUUCGUGAGAUCGUAAGACUUCGUGACGACUCCAAAGUUUACGGUCGUUGUCGCACGUAAAAAUAAACCGAUUCCUUAAAUUUAGAUGACUGA